GUGGGGAAUAUUGGACAAUGGGCGAAAGCCUGAUCCAGCCAUGCCGCGUGUGUGAAGAAGGUCUUCGGAUUGUAAAGCACUUUAAGUUGGGAGGAAGGGCAGUAAGUUAAUAUCUUGCUGUUUUGACGUUACCGACAGAAUAAGCACCGGCUAACUUCGUGCCAGCAGCCGCGGUAAUACGAAGGGUGCAAGCGUUAAUCGGAAUUACUGGGCGUAAAGCGCGCGUAGGUGGUUUUGUAAGUUGGAGGUGAAAUCCCCGGGCUCAACCUGGGAACUGCCUCCAAAACUGCAUGACUAGAGUACGGUAGAGGGUAGUGGAAUUUCCUGUGUAGCGGUGAAAUGCGUAGAUAUAGGAAGGAACACCAGUGGCGAAGGCGACUACCUGGACUGAUACUGACACUGAGGUGCGAAAGCGUGGGGAGCAAACAGGAUUAGAAACCCCAGUAGUCC
This 450-nucleotide ribosomal RNA is filed under the name uncultured bacterium. RNAcentral's name for it is "bacterial SSU rRNA". It matches the Rfam family "Bacterial small subunit ribosomal RNA", at positions 354 to 796 of the family's 1533-position model. The record is from RNAcentral.